This 418-nucleotide long non-coding RNA is filed under the name Rosa chinensis. RNAcentral's name for it is "sRNA RchiOBHm_Chr7g0201461". Lineage: Eukaryota; Viridiplantae; Streptophyta; Magnoliopsida; Rosales; Rosaceae. The record is from RNAcentral.
GGGCGAGUGGUUGCGCAGGCGUGCCAGCACCGCGGGGUGCAGUCGUUGGGGUAGUCCCGUGACCUGACUUCUUCUUCAAGCGCUGUGGACGAGGAGAGCACCAACCUCGUCACAGGGUUCUUUUCUUGCCUUCCGGAGAAGGACUUCUUUGCCUUACACGGGUAAGGGCUUUGGAUGUGGUUUCUUUGCGUUCACCAAAUCGAUACUCAACUUGAAAGCCGAGCAGAGCAAUCACUGGGAAGUUGGAGAGGAACACGGGUUUGCUAAAGCGUGACUCUAGCUUCGCUGGAAGUAACAGUGGCGGUUGCGCUCGCAGUCGGCUCCUGGGGAGACUAGGACUGGAAGUACGGUCGCCGGGUUGAACUGGUGAGGCUGACAGUCGGCUCGCGGGGAGACUAGGACUGGCGGGCGGUCACCG